RNAcentral lists this ribosomal RNA (468 nucleotides) under uncultured bacterium. Its description in RNAcentral is "partial 16S ribosomal RNA". It matches the Rfam family "Bacterial small subunit ribosomal RNA", at positions 28 to 507 of the family's 1533-position model. The record is from RNAcentral.
GACGAACGCUGGCGGCGUGCUUAACACAUGCAAGUCGAACGGAAAGGCCCUGCUUUUGUGGGGUGCUCGAGUGGCGAACGGGUGAGUAACACGUGAGUAACCUGCCCUUGACUUUGGGAUAACUUCAGGAAACUGGGGCUAAUACCGGAUAGGAGCUCCUGCUGCAUGGUGGGGGUUGGAAAGUUUCGGCGGUUGGGGAUGGACUCGCGGCUUAUCAGCUUGUUGGUGGGGUAGUGGCUUACCAAGGCUUUGACGGGUAGCCAGCCUGAGAGGGUGACCGGCCACAUUGGGACUGAGAUACGGCCCAGACUCCUACGGGAGGCAGCAGUGGGGAAUAUUGCACAAUGGGCGGAAGCCUGAUGCAGCAACGCCGCGUGCGGGAUGGCGGCCUUCGGGUUGUAAACCGCUUUCGCCUGUGACGAAGCGUGAGUGACGGUAAUGGGUAAAGAAGCACCGGCUAACUACGUG